This 70-nucleotide transfer RNA is filed under the name Aratinga solstitialis (sun parakeet). RNAcentral describes it as "tRNA-Ala". It matches the Rfam family "tRNA". From Rfam's summary of the family: Transfer RNA (tRNA) molecules are approximately 80 nucleotides in length. Their secondary structure includes four short double-helical elements and three loops (D, anti-codon, and T loops). Lineage: Eukaryota; Metazoa; Chordata; Aves; Psittaciformes; Psittacidae. The record is from RNAcentral.
AAAGAUCCUAGCUUAAUGAAAGUAUCUGGGUUGCAUUCAGGAGAUGUAGGUUAGUGUCCUACGGAUCUUA